Canis lupus familiaris (dog) is the source of this 2750-nucleotide long non-coding RNA. RefSeq lists it as uncharacterized. The transcript has 5 exons. NCBI's taxonomy places the organism in Eukaryota, Metazoa, Chordata, Mammalia, Carnivora, Canidae. The record is from RefSeq and is a predicted model, not a curated record.
UUGUUUUUUGAACUUCUCCCCAGCACCUUCUGAUCUUUUUCUCAACUUCCAGUGUUAACCCAAUGCUGUGUCGUACCUUCUACAUACACAGAGCAGCACAGUGCAACUUUGGGGUUUCUCGCCGAUCCAGUCUUCUCAAGGGCAUGCCCCAUAAGUCCAAUGUUGACUUCUGAACCCAUGAUUUCCUAUCUGGUCCCAGAUGGGGCUUGGGAUUAGCCUCAAAUGCUAGAACAGGAAGCCUUCUCUGUCCUCGUCUAUACUCACAUUACAUAUUUAUAUAUGCACAUACAAGGGAGAGUUAUUCCUUUUUUUAAAGACUUUUUUUUUUAAAGCAAUCUCUACACCCAACAUGGAGCUCGAACUUACAACCUGGAGAUCAAGAGUUGCAGGCCCCACCGACUGAGCCAGCCAGGCACCCCAAGGGAGAGUGAUUCUUACCAAAUGCAGCACAGAUUCUCUUAAAGACAUCUCUGUUGCUCUGCGAAGUUAAUGCAAAUAAUUAAAGCCAACCGGUCCUCUGUGUGGGGGCCACUGCAGCAGGUGGCCUGCUCCCCACCGCAUGUACACACUUCAGGACACACUUCACCAGCAUGAUUUUCUACCAUUCCUCUGAUGGCACAGCUUGCAUGUGGAAACCAGGCCCUCACCAUGUGAUCCUACCUUGUUCAGUUUGGAAAAUAACUCAUAAGAAAGCUAAUUUAAAAAAAAAAAAAAAACAGCAGUUUCCUUAAGGCCCCAGAUGGAAUGUCUUCUCAGAAGCAAAGCAUAUUCAUUGCAGAAGAAAAUAAUGAAAUACAGAUCAGUGAAAACAAAAGAGAAACAUCCAUAAUUCACCCUAUCAAAGAUAUCCAUUGUCAUCUUCCAGACUCUUUGGUAUAACCCUGGACUUGAUCCUGAUGAAACAUCAGACAAACCCAAAUCGAUUGGAGAUUCUUAUAAAAUUAAUUGCCUGUACUCUUCAGUGGCAAGGCAUGGAUGGAAGUCCCUGAAGGACUGGGGAACUAUUCCAUGUGGAAGGAGACUAAUGAAGAAGCAACCACAAGUCAGGACACCAUACGGGAUCAUUUGGUUAUAAAGGAUGUGGUGGAAACAGUUGGUGAAACUUGCUUGGGGUGAUAGUGGCACUGCAUCAAUGUUAUUUUGCCCAUCUUGAUGGCUGCAGUAUGGUUGUGUGGGAGGAUGUUCUUGUUGGAGGACUUCCAAACUCAAUUAUUUAAGGGUGAUGGUGCACCAUGUUGACAACUUAUUCUCAAGUAGUUUGAGAAAAGAAAUUCCUUGUAUUUUUUCUGCAACUCGCCAUUAGGUUUGAGAUGGUUUCAAAUAAGAAAGUAUGAUGAUGGGAUAGAGUUGGGGGAGAAGAAGGACCUCUCUGAUAAGGUUACAUGUGAUCACAGACCUGAAAGAAAUGGCGGACCAAGUAUCAGGGUAUCUGAAGGAAGAGCAUUCUUGGAUGAGGGAAAAGAAUGUGUAGAGGCUUUGAGGAGGGGGAUGACUGGAGUGUUUCAGGAACCUCACUAGGAGGCCAGUGAAAUUGCUGUAGAGUGAUAGUGUGAGAAAGUGGCAAGUGGAUGAGGCCACUAAGGUAAUGGGAACCAAAUCAAAAUCCGAAAGGGAUUUGGGGUUUUGUUUUUUUUCUGUGCUGGGAUACACUAGGGGGAGGGGUGGUCAUAACCUCAUUUAUGUUUUAUAAGGAUCACUCUGGCUACUGUGUAUAGAGCAGCAAGAUUGGAAGCAAGGAGUUUGGAAACUUUGGGAAUAUUUCACUCUCAGAUAGAUAUAUGGGCUGCAGGAGUCUCUAGAAAGACUUUGAAGAGCCACUACCUGGGCCACAAACACUGCACUGGCAUCAUUUAGCCUCAGCAGCAGCAGAACCAUCCGACUUCUUCUAUCUCUCAUGCCCAUCUUCCCUUGGAGGCCUGCCAAGAGGGUCCAGCACAGAAGCUGCUCGCCAAAGGGCAGCUCUGAUCAUGACUUGUCAGGAAAGUUGAGAAGCCAGCUGGAUGAAUUUUUAAUCUAAUUUUUCAAUUAUUUGGCACAAGUGCUGAAGUGUCCUUUUAAAUUAAUUAUCAUAGAACCAAAGACAAGCUUAGGGAGAAAUACUGUAACUGUCAGAUCUGGUCUCCUUCCCCAGAGCUGCAUGACACCACAAACACUAUUGUCCUGUGUAGAGGGACUUCAAAUGAAAGGUCUUGAGGUUUUACCUGGUUCUAACUAAUGAAGAAACCUGUGUAUUGACUCCUGAUUUUUGAACCCAUAAAGGACCUUAGAGGGAAAUGAUUCCAUUUCCCUCUUUUUCUGGACCCACAAGAUGAGUGACAAUUUAUAGCUUGCUUAGUUUGGUUUUGCCCCAAACUUGCCCUCAAUUGUCAUAAAGUCUCAGUGGAAAAACCAAAGAACCUGGAUUUGUGUCUCAAGAACUAUGUUCAUCAUGAUUUGAAAUCACAUGUUCAUUGUGAUGAACAUAGCUCAGACCUAUGUCCAAAUCUUUCUCUCCUUGGAACCCCCAGUGAUUUCAAGGACAUAUCUAAAAGACAAUUUGAUGCCUCCUUUGUGUUUGUUUUAUCUGCAAAAUGAUUCUUUUCAAACAUAAAAAUACACUUAUAAGUGUUAGAUUUAAAGCACACCUUUUAAAAUCCAAGAACAGGCUCAUACUCAAAGAGCAACAUUUAAAAAUGUUUUUCCCCUACCUUAGAUAUACAUAUAUCUAUUUUUUAUAUCCAUUUUUAAAAUAUUUUAUUUAUUUAUUCGAG